UCUGCACUAAAAAAUCCUUUUAUUGAAGAGGGAGGAAAAAAGUGGAAUUUCAGAAUCUCUGUAUCUGAUGAGAGAAAUUUUUUUGUGCCUAAGCUGGAAAGAAAAACAAUCCAUUGCUGUGGUAAAGGGUUGCUUCUGUAUUUCUGCCAAGGUCAUUGAAUGCAUAAAUCCAGAGAGAGUACAGACUUUGAAAGCAGCUCAGCUGUUUCCCCACAGCAGCUCUCUUAGGACUCAGAAGGGUGAGAGAGUUUUCUUGACAUUGCAAAACUGUUAAAUACAACUGAAAAUAUUUUUCCAAUGUUUGGCAGUUUGAGAUCUCAACAACAUGUAAUGGAUCUAGUGAUGCCCAAGAGAUUUUUAUGGACAACAAGUCAGUAUGCCCACGUUUCUUUCCCAAGGUCUCCUUCCUUCAGAGAUCCCAUUGUGAGGUUUCUGUGUUGCAGUCUUUCAACAACCGGGCUUGUUUUCAGGCUCUUUGAAUUCAGGUUGCCUCCUGUGUUCAACUGCCUAAGUGCCUCAUGGUACAUCUGGCUACCUGCUACAGACUCCUGAAUCCCAGAGCCUGCAUAAAUACAUGGAUUCUGAACAGAGGCAAAAGAUGAGCUCUUCUUACACUGUAAUGCUGAGCUGUCUGAGGGCAGGAACACCACAGCUUCCAUACUGUCUGGUGAAAUUGCAUCCAUGGUCUGCAAAAUACAACACUUCUCAGCUGUUGAGAAUGAACCUGUAAAUGGGAAAGAAAAGCCUGAUGGAAAGGAGGUACACACUGGAGGUAGUGUAAAGCAGAAACAUCUCCAAGCCUUCUCUGGAUCUGAAUUACUUUCCUUACUAGCAAACACUGAUAUUUCAUUUAUUUGCUCUGUCAUAAUUACAAGGAGAAGUCAAAGAGCAGAUGAAAGACUGGGAUGUAUACAGCAAAACAGGAAGAGUACAUGCAUCCUACCUUGUAAAAAAUCUUCCUUUAAAUAAAAUGUUUAUUUUAACAUCUUUCUUUAGUGCAGCUAACAUAACAAACACAUAAAGCCAAAACACACCUGGAGUUAUUCAUCAUAUUCUCUUGUGUUCAAAUUAUUUAUCUACAAAGAAACAGGUAAAAAACACCUCCUCCUGUAGAAAAAGCAUUUGCACCCAGAAAGGUCUCUUGCCUCUCACCUCCAGUGUCCCCCAGCAUGAUGGAAACACCAAACCUGACACCUCCAGUUUCACGGCCUAUGACUUCAAAUUCUUUCCAAAGUAAGCAACCUUCUUAAAAUUUUAAAUUGCUUCCUAUAACUAAGGGAGCCACUUCUUGGCAUUAGCUGGGGUGAUUCCAAUGCUCCUGCUGCAUAACUCAUUGCUGCACAGGGGUAGCAGCUAUGAGAGGAUGCACUUUGUCCAGUUUCUUUGUACCAAGCUACUUUGCACCUCUACAAGUUAUAUUGGAUUUAGAGUCCACACCAGGAGAACCCAGUCUGGUGAGGCACACAAGUAGCCAGACCAACCAACUGAGCCCUUCUUUUACUGCCCUACAAGAAACUGUGUGAAAAACUGCUUAACACAAGGUGAAAAAAGCACUGAAGGUAUGACUCAAGAUGAUACUUCAGAGACUUAAUACUGGGCCAAAAGAGGACAUCUGUGUGGCAGCAGCUCUCUGGCCACAGAGAGCAACAUACAACUUUCCCAGGCAUUGUCCUGGGGAAGGCUGUGAGAAGAUCAGAGAAAAGAAUGAUAAACAAUUCUUAACUUCACUUGCUGCACAUAUUGUUGUAAACAUGUGGAAUGUAUUAUGGAGAUUUUUUUACCAAAGGGUGAUUUCUUAAUUGGCCAGUGGUGAUGGUGUUUGGAUUCAAGGACCAAUUGGGUCCACCUGUAUCAUGACUGUCUGUAAGGGCAAUGGGUUUCUUAAUAAGUAUAAUAUAAUAAAGUGAUUGAGCAG
Molecule: long non-coding RNA, 1915 nt
Organism: Vidua chalybeata
Lineage: Eukaryota; Metazoa; Chordata; Aves; Passeriformes; Viduidae
Exons: 4
Source: RefSeq, a predicted model, not a curated record